RNAcentral lists this ribosomal RNA (459 nucleotides) under uncultured bacterium. RNAcentral's name for it is "partial 16S ribosomal RNA". It matches the Rfam family "Bacterial small subunit ribosomal RNA", at positions 338 to 795 of the family's 1533-position model. The record is from RNAcentral.
CCUACGGGUGGCAGCAGUGAGGAAUAUUGGUCAAUGGGCGAGAUCCUGAACCAGCCAAGCCGCGUGAGGGAAGACGGCCCUAUGGGUUGUAAACCGCUUUUGUCGGAGAACAAAACCCGGGACGUGUCCCGGACUGCGUGUAUCCGACGAAAAAGCAUCGGCUAACUCCGUGCCAGCAGCCGCGGUAAUACGGAGGAUGCGAGCGUUAUCCGGAUUUAUUGGGUUUAAAGGGUGCGUAGGCGGUCCGUUAAGUCAGCGGGAAAAUUGCGGGGCUCAACCCCGUAGAGCCGUUGAAACUGGUCGGCUAGAGUGGGGUAGAGGUACGCGGAAUGUGUGGUGUAGCGGUGAAAUGCAUAGAGAUCGUGCAGAACACCGAUUGCGAAGGCAGCGUACCGGGGCAAGACUGACGCUGAGGCACGAAAGCGUGGGGAUCGAACAGGAUUAGAUACCCUGGUAGUC